AUUGAACGCUGGCGGCAGGCCUAACACAUGCAAGUCGAGCGGAUGAAGGGAGCUUGCUCCUGGAUUCAGCGGCGGACGGGUGAGUAAUGCCUAGGAAUCUGCCUGGUAGUGGGGGAUAACGUCCGGAAACGGGCGCUAAUACCGCAUACGUCCUGAGGGAGAAAGUGGGGGAUCUUCGGACCUCACGCUAUCAGAUGAGCCUAGGUCGGAUUAGCUAGUUGUUGGGGUAAAGGCCUACCAAGGCGACGAUCCGUAACUGGUCUGAGAGGAUGAUCAGUCACACUGGAACUGAGACACGGUCCAGACUCCUACGGGAGGCAGCAGUGGGGAAUAUUGGACAAUGGACGAAAGCCUGAUCCAGCCAUGCCGCGUGUGUGAAGAAGGUCUUCGGAUUGUAAAGCACUUUAAGUUGGGAGGAAGGGCAGUAAGUUAAUACCUUGCUGUUUUGACGUUACCAACAGAAUAAGCACCGGCUAACUUCGUG
This 484-nucleotide ribosomal RNA is filed under the name uncultured bacterium. RNAcentral describes it as "partial 16S ribosomal RNA". It matches the Rfam family "Bacterial small subunit ribosomal RNA", at positions 30 to 507 of the family's 1533-position model. The record is from RNAcentral.